RNAcentral lists this unclassified non-coding RNA (245 nucleotides) under plant metagenome. RNAcentral's name for it is "partial contains small subunit ribosomal RNA, internal transcribed spacer 1, and 5.8S ribosomal RNA". The record is from RNAcentral.
UCUCCGUUGGUGAACCAGCGGAGGGAUCAUUACCGAGUUUACAACUCCCAAACCCAAUGUGAGCGUUACCAAACUGUUGCCUCGGCGGGGUCACGCCCCGGGUGCGUCGCAGCCCCGGAACCAGGCGCCCGCCGGAGGAACCAACCAAACUCUUUCUGUAGUCCCCUCGCGGACGUUAUUUCUUACAGCUCUGAGCAAAAAUUCAAAAUGAAUCAAAACUUUCAACAACGGAUCUCUUGGUUCUG